Molecule: unclassified non-coding RNA, 283 nt
Filed under: Hevea brasiliensis (rubber tree)
Lineage: Eukaryota; Viridiplantae; Streptophyta; Magnoliopsida; Malpighiales; Euphorbiaceae
Source: RNAcentral
GCUGAACUCUUCGCUCGGGACGAUCUCCGGCGGCAUCAUAAUGGCGAAUUCACCCUUCCGCCUCCCUUUCCUCCUCCUCCUCCUCGGCCUCCUCGCCACCUCCUCCACCGCCGAGAUCAAAUCCCUCAAGAUCUCCUCCGACAACCGUCCCAUGAUUCUCUUCGAGAAAUUUGGAUUCACUCACACCGGCCAGGUCUCCAUUUCCGUCAAAUCCGUCUCGGUUACUACCUCCCUUGCUGAAACCGAUCCUUCUCGCCUUGGAUUCUUCCUCUUAUCUGAAGAA